UACCAGCUCUCCGAGUGGUAGGGAUGUUUAUUGGGCUUAAAGCGUCCGUAGCCGGCUUAGCAAGUCUCCUGUUAAAUUCAGCGACCUAAUCGUUGAGCCGCGGGAGAUACUACUAGGCUAGGAGGCGGGAGAGGUCAACGGUACUUCCGGGGUAGGGGUGAAAUCCUAUAAUCCCGGGAGGACCACCAGUGGCGAAGGCUGUUGACUAGAACGCGCUCGACGGUGAGGGACGAAAGCUGGGGGGAGCGAACCGGGAUUAGAUACCCGGGUAGUCCCAGCUGUAAACGAUGCGAGCUAGGUGUUGGGGUGGCUACGUGCCACUUCAGUGCCGCAGGGAAGCCAUUAAGCUCGCCGCCUGGGGAGUACGGCCGCAAGGCUGAAACUUAAAGGAAUUGGCGGGGAGCACCACAAGGCGUGAAGCUUGCGGUUC
This 430-nucleotide ribosomal RNA is filed under the name uncultured archaeon. Its description in RNAcentral is "bacterial SSU rRNA". It matches the Rfam family "Archaeal small subunit ribosomal RNA", at positions 474 to 903 of the family's 1478-position model. The record is from RNAcentral.